This 234-nucleotide unclassified non-coding RNA is filed under the name Hevea brasiliensis (rubber tree). The record is from RNAcentral. Lineage: Eukaryota; Viridiplantae; Streptophyta; Magnoliopsida; Malpighiales; Euphorbiaceae.
GAACGAGGAGGAGGAGGAGGAGGGUUUUUCUAUUUUUCCCUCAAAUGGUUUCCUCUGGCUUUUUAGCAGAAACAUCUGUUUUGCAGUUGAGAUUAUGGCAACUGUCUCCUUUUCUUUUGUGGGAGGAAAAUGUCUUUUUGAAUUUCAGUAUUUCUUUGAGUGUUCUCUUGUGAAACAUUAUUUUUCUGGUUUAGUUUCUCUUCUGGAAAGCUAAAAAUAUGUGAUGUUUUCCAG